RNAcentral lists this long non-coding RNA (689 nucleotides) under Ananas comosus (pineapple). RNAcentral describes it as "long non-coding RNA (ACOM_LNC041249)". Lineage: Eukaryota; Viridiplantae; Streptophyta; Magnoliopsida; Poales; Bromeliaceae. The record is from RNAcentral.
CUUGCAUCUGAUGCGUACUAAUGUUUUAGUUAGUAUAUUUCAUAUGAUUCUUGCAACCAACUUUCGUAAAAUAUAAAAUUAACUUAAACUGUAUUAAUCUUUUUUUUAUUUUUUAAUGUCUAAUUUAUAUCUGAAUUCUUAAUAUUAUAAAAUUAACAUUUAUAUUCAAUACCAAGUUAACAACUGUCUAAACUAUUUAAUAAUUAUUUAUAUAUUUUAAAUUUUAUAAUAAAAAAUAAUAAAUAGAUUAAAAUUUUAAAAAAUAUAUAAUUUUUUUUCUAUAUAUGAAAAGAAAAAAAAAUUAAGAAAGAGUUAAAAAAGAUCCUCUCCUCUCCCCUGUUGGGCCCUCCCCGCCGCGCCAGCGCCCGCGCCAGUGCCCAACCCACACUGGGCUGGCCCACCCGAGCCUCCGCCCUCGGCUUGCGCCUAGAGAUGUCAACGGGUCGGAUUCGGGGCGGAUUUUUAAAAACCCGAACCCGAAACUGACUCCAAACCCGAGACCGGAACCCGAACCCGAACCCGAACUCGACGGAUUUUAAUAAUCCAUAUCCAAACUCGAACCCGACCAAAAAUCCGAAACCCGAACCCGAAAAUUUGAACCCGAAAUAAUUAUUUUUUUUCAAUAUUUCAAAAUAUAUUAUAUUAAAUCUAAAUUUUUAAAAUACAAAUUCAAAUAUAACAUCCAAUAU